UACGUAGGGUGCAAGCGUUGUCCGGAAUUAUUGGGCGUAAAGAGCUCGUAGGCGGUCUGUCACGUCUGCUGUGAAAACUCGGGGCUUAACCCCGGGCCUGCAGUGGGUACGGGCAGACUAGAGUGCGGUAGGGGAGACUGGAAUUCCUGGUGUAGCGGUGAAAUGCGCAGAUAUCAGGAGGAACACCGGUGGCGAAGGCGGGUCUCUGGGCCGUAACUGACGCUGAGGCGCGAAAGCGUGGGGAGCGAACAGG
This 253-nucleotide ribosomal RNA is filed under the name uncultured bacterium. RNAcentral describes it as "partial 16S ribosomal RNA". It matches the Rfam family "Bacterial small subunit ribosomal RNA", at positions 524 to 776 of the family's 1533-position model. The record is from RNAcentral.